Long non-coding RNA from Larimichthys crocea (large yellow croaker), 1939 nucleotides. RefSeq lists it as uncharacterized. The record is from RefSeq and is a predicted model, not a curated record. The transcript has 3 exons. Lineage: Eukaryota; Metazoa; Chordata; Actinopteri; Sciaenidae.
GCUUAUCAGUUCUGCUUUAUUAAGGUUAUUUCAACAAAGCGUUACACUUGUUUUUUUUAGCUCUUGUUCUUCAUCAGCUGAUAGCGAAGGAUCUGACAGGGUCAUGGGAACCUAUCACAGCAUGAACUAGGCAAGAUGCAAUUGCUUGCCAGGCUGUCAGUCUAUCACGGGACAAGAAAAUCACAAACAUAUAAAAAAAUAUAUGCUGCUGCUACCUCCCUGAAGCAGGGAGGUAGCAGCAGAACAUAAGUGGAACACUGAACAUAAGUGGUAAGUGUUUGUUUGUUUCAAGAUUACAUAAUCCAAACACAGUGACAUGUGUUUUCUCUUGAAAAUAACCACCUGAUUUGUUAUCAUCAAAAGAAGCCAAGGUGAAGGCAAGGAAACCUUUUUAUGAUGCAGUACUCUCUCCAGCUCUGUGAAGACGGUUGUGCAAGAGCAAGUUUUGUAAGAGGGGGUGGACGGAGGGGGGAGGGGGCCAAUAAUAAGGAACAUUAUGAGUCACACAAAACUGCCCACUGAGAAUAAGAUGUUCCCACUUGACGCGGAUGAACACCCACAUCAUCUAGAAGUGCUGGUGCAACUUGUCACUGUGCACUGAUACUAUAAAAGUCCUUAAACUGGUCCAAAAGAGAAGGAGGGGUGGGACAGCAUGUACAUAUCAAAAUAAAUAAAAACCUAUGUGUCAGUUUUUUGUCCAGAGAGGGAGUUUAUAUAAGUGGAAAAACCAUUGGUGCCACAGUAUAUAUAACAGAUUUAAAGUGGGGUAGUAGCAGUAGGGUAAUUGUUGCACUUAAAGCCAACUUGUGCCCAUUUUUAAGUCAAGAGGCUUUGUGCUUGUUGUGAAAAACUAAAUAUAUCACACUGUAUAUUUUGUGGAUUCCUGUGUAAAUUAUGUUUUCUUUUGUUUCUCUCAGAAUGAAAAGAAAAGAAGCUAAACUAAUAAAACUGAAUCAGACCGAAACCCUUGUAUGAAAACAAGAAAAAAGCACGAUGAAGAACACUGAAUAUACUGCAGAAACUGGAAACUGGAAAGCAGAUAUGAAAGUUUGGGAAAUGUAUCUGAACAUCUGCUGCCUUACGUCUCUACACCCACAGCUUGUUCACAGAAAAAGACAAAAGGAAAAGGAGAAUUAUGAUCCAGUUGCCAUAGCAGCUGUAAGUUGGUCAGUAGGAUGCGAGUGUGUGUGCAGCAUGACUCUACAUAAUGCAUCCAGACACAAAAGGCGUAGCAUUGUACGUAAAAGUUGCCAUGUACUGAUGCUUAAUCAUUGUUUACUUGAGUCAUGAUUGUGCUCAAUGAGUUUGUGCCUUGGGGCACUUUGUACUUUGUAGAAACGCAUGACUCAUAUUGAUCGAUACUUCUGUUAUUUUAGCAUGCAGUGAAAUCAGAAGGUCAAACACAUGGUAUCUAGCAUAAUAUAUAUAUUUUGCACCAGAAUGCAAAGAUUAACAUAUUGGCUGUAACAUUCUUUGCAGAGAAGUUGCAUGUUUGCACGUUCAUCCCGAGCCAAGGGUGAAUUCAGCCGAGAUUGUUGCAGCAGCCCACCGACAAGCUAUCCUCGCAUUCCUCAGAUAAAAAACUGACAGAAAAUACUAGAACAGAGAACAUCUGUUGAAAGAGUCAGCGUGCAUAUAUUUUAGAUUUAGAGAACAAAAGAAGUAGUCACAGUACAAUGAAGUUCAGCUGAUUUCACUGCCGUUGAGGAAUGUCUAAUUAAUCUCAAACCUGCCCUGGCGUUAGUAAAGGUUAAUUCGUUGAAUGAAUGUAUCACCAAUUGUUUUAUAUUCUAUAACUCUGUUAGAUAUGCUUGAGUGAUCAAGUCAUUCCUCAAAUGAUGACCCUAAUGAAGCACAAAGCUUAACUUUUAUUUCUUAAUUGUUCUUCACACAUCAUAACUGCAUUUAGAAAUUCACUGUAACUCUGUCUUACCAUGUG